GGAGUCGGACAGGUCGUCGCUGCGGUGCAUGUCGCCGUGGAGGAAAGUCCGGGCUUCGCAGGGCAGGACGCUGGGUAACGCCCAGCAGGAGCGAUCCUGGGAAAGUGCCACAGAAAACAGACCGCCCGCCGGUUUCCGGCAGGUAAGGGUGAAACGGUGGAGUAAGAGACCACCAGCGGGUGCGGUGACGCAUCCGGCUAGGUAAACCCCGUCCGAAGCAAGACCAAAUAGGGAAGUCGGCCGGCCCGGCCAUCAGACUUCCGGGUAGGUUGCUUGAGGCGUGCGGUAACGCCCGCCCCAGAUGAAUGACGACCGCCCCGCAAGGGGAGACAAAACCCGGCUUAUCGUCCGGCUCCACAU
This 360-nucleotide RNase P RNA is filed under the name Paucidesulfovibrio gracilis DSM 16080. RNAcentral describes it as "Desulfovibrio gracilis DSM 16080 Bacterial RNase P class A". It matches the Rfam family "Bacterial RNase P class A". Rfam says of the family: Ribonuclease P (RNase P) is a ubiquitous endoribonuclease, found in archaea, bacteria and eukarya as well as chloroplasts and mitochondria. The record is from Rfam by way of RNAcentral. Lineage: Bacteria; Pseudomonadati; Thermodesulfobacteriota; Desulfovibrionia; Desulfovibrionales; Desulfovibrionaceae.